This is a long non-coding RNA of Marmota monax (woodchuck), 1505 nucleotides long. RefSeq lists it as uncharacterized. The transcript is spliced from 2 exons. Lineage: Eukaryota; Metazoa; Chordata; Mammalia; Rodentia; Sciuridae. The record is from RefSeq and is a predicted model, not a curated record.
CGAAGUGGCAGAAAGUUUGACCUGUGCUGGGAGAUUUUUCUCUAACCCGUUGGGUGGACUCGUCACCACGGCUUCCUGGCGACCUGCACGCGGAUCCCACUCGUUUUUAUUUUUGUCUUGAUACGGACCAAAGUCCACUGUGGUCGGCAGGAGGAAUUCCUCAGACUAGUGACCCUUGACUCUGGAAAGGUGUCUCUCCUGGUAACUUGGGUGGUCAGAACUGGGCAGGUUCUGUGGACCUCAGAGCCCCAUUUGAUGAGCUGGACAGUGGGGGCAGACAGCACGGUCUGGCCGUGUGGCCCUUGGAAUUCAAAAUUUCCAGAGAGAAAAGAUGCUAAAAUUAAAAAAUGACUUCUGAGCAUCGAGCUGUGAUCUAGAGAUGAGGGUGACAUGGUGGCUGAGACCUCAGGAAGAGGAAAGGAUGAGUGAUUCUCUCGCAGGUCCAGGUACUGAGGCCUGGGUGUGCCUCCCAGAUGACCCAGUGACCGCGGCCCCUCCAGGAUCCCCGGGGCAGGCCCUCAGCCUCCCCGCAAGCGGCCAGAUGGGAAAAAGCUCAACCCGGAGAGAUCAUGGGUGGAACUUUCCUGGGAUGAAGUGAGCCUCAGGGAGACCCACAGGCUCCUGAGAAAAGCUGCCAGGCAGCCUUCAGGGACAUGCAGAAAAGGGGGCAGUGGGUCCCCCACGUCCUACUGACCAGACGCAGAUGGCCUUCCAUGAAAAAGGACGGACAGCUCAGAGGACAGGAUGGAGACCCAGAGAGCAAAGCCCAGAGCCAUGGAGAAUCCUUCCCAGACCUUGGGGUCCAGGCAGGGCACUUUAUUGUCUCCCGCUGGUCUCAGGUGGCCUGGGACCGGGGCCCCACCGUGCCCCCUGUUUCUCCUCUGAACAGCAAUGCCCAUCUCGAUGCCCUGCCCUAAGGUAGAAAAGGCCACUGUCAGGACAGCAGUCAGGGCGUGGCCAUCUGGGCUCUGGGGAGAUGACCCCCUCCAAGUUCGCCCACGUGGGUGUGGGCAGCUCACCGUGUGGCGGAGGUUCCAUCAGGGCACAUGGGCAGGGGGGUGGGAGCCAGCGGGAUCCCAGCCCUUUGCUCUUGGAGAGGUAAAAUCCACGUGUGAUCCAUCACCUCCCAGUUGUAGCUCAUGGGCACACAGGCAUUCACCGCUCUAGAUUUGAAACCUUUCCAUCACCCCCAAGAACGCUCAGUCCUGCUAAGUGGUCACCCCCAACCCCUCUCCCCCAGCCCCUGGGCCAGCACCAGUUUCUCUCCGCCUGCGGAUCAGCCCGUGCUAGCCCCUCACCUUCCAGAGGAAUCCCAACAUAUGUGUGUGCCUCUUCGCUCUGCGUCCUGUUUUCAAGAUCCCUCCACAUGGCAGCGUGAGCCAGUCCUUCGCUCUUCAUUACUUUUUAAGACAUGAACCUUAUUUUUUAGAGUUGUUUUAAGUUCACAGAAAAAUUCCACUCCUUUUUUAUGGCAGAAUAAUAUUUCAGUCCAUGGAUACACUGAA